UAAAAGAUAGUUGAAUAUUGGUUAGUGGGAGGAGAAACCAAAGUAAUUCAUCUUGUUCCUCCAUUGUCGAAACUUGAAAGGAAAAAGAAUAAAAUUUUUUGUUUGAGUUUCGGCUAUGGUGAUUGCUAGAAGAAGCUCAAGAGCAGAAAGUGUCGAAAUCAGAUAGGGGAAAAGAGGAAGCAAUGGAGUAUUCUAUCCAUAACUGUUCAAAUAUAUUCGAGGUUUAUACUACUUUAGCUCGAGUUGGAAUGGCCGGAGAUAUCAUCACACUAUCGAGUCAUUAUGUGAGUUGAGAAGAUUGUAUAUUAUCAUGGUUUAAGGCAUGUAUAGGAUAGACUAUAGGUAGAAUGAUAUUUCGACUUUGUAUACAUUAUAGCCAUGCGAAGAUGGCUUGCUCAUUUUGUUUAGAGAAGCCUUAUAAUUGAACUAAUGUGGUGAAAUGUUUUAGUUAUAACUUGAUAGUAGUUAAAUUGUUAUUAGAUAUUCGGUUAUGUUUUGAUAGUGAGUCAUUUUGGAAAUUUAUAAGAGCUCUUAUGGAAAAUCAAUGAGACAUGUUUGCAUUG
Long non-coding RNA from Gossypium arboreum, 563 nucleotides. RefSeq lists it as uncharacterized. The record is from RefSeq and is a predicted model, not a curated record. The transcript has 3 exons. NCBI's taxonomy places the organism in Eukaryota, Viridiplantae, Streptophyta, Magnoliopsida, Malvales, Malvaceae.